Molecule: long non-coding RNA, 813 nt
Filed under: Pongo abelii (Sumatran orangutan)
Lineage: Eukaryota; Metazoa; Chordata; Mammalia; Primates; Hominidae
Description: lincRNA
Source: RNAcentral
CAGAGCUGCCACAACCCAUCUUCCCACAACUCGGAACUUGGAAAAAGGAACCCAGGACACGACUUUGCUUUUCUUUUGGACCUAGUUGCAACUUUUAAAAGCAUUUCCAUUGCACAGUGAAAGAAAACCACAAACUCCUUGUUUAAUAACUCGGAUCAUGUGCUUUUAACGAGAGGAAAAGGUCAAGUCUGAAGCAACUGAUAUGGAACUGCCAGAGUAGGAGUUGAAAAUAUUCCUAAACUGCUGGAGGAUACACCUCUGAUAGCUUGAGACAAAUAUCCUCUUGAUUAUUGUUUCACCAUAUUUGUCUUUGCUCACAGAGAACCAUUUUGACCUGUGGUUUAGCCUCCCAGGUGAUUGAACAAUAGCGGUGAUCUGAGGCAGACCCUCUGUGACGGAUAACAGGAGUCCAUUCUCAAUUUUCUGUGCAAAUUGGGGAAGGCUGUUGAUAAUCGGUGGGUGCUAUAGUGCCCAUGGAAAGACUCUAGGCUGAAGAUACCAGCCUCUCCCUCCCAAGAUCACCUCCCUUGACCAAUCUUCUCACACUCCUGACAGAUACAAGGGAGCAAACAAGUUGCACCCAGUCUGAUAGUAAACUGCAGGGACAUUUCCAUUCUAAGGAAGGAAUUUUUGUGUGUGUUGCAACUCAGCUUCUGCUCUGGCAUUUUGCUGUGCAUUUAUAUUGCCAAUCAUGUUGGAGAGUCCAUGUGGUGAUUUCUGAAAAUGAGAUGUGAGAAAGAAGAGGAUAAUUUAAGUCUAGACCUACAGAUUGUGCUGAUAAAGUGAUGAAGAGCUACAAUCUUCUGAGUCAUU